Long non-coding RNA from Hypanus sabinus (Atlantic stingray), 918 nucleotides. RefSeq lists it as uncharacterized. The record is from RefSeq and is a predicted model, not a curated record. Lineage: Eukaryota; Metazoa; Chordata; Chondrichthyes; Myliobatiformes; Dasyatidae. The transcript is spliced from 2 exons.
CUAGUCCUACCCUUGAAUAUCAUGUGUUACAUUAAGUUCACCUUUUGUUCUUCUAAGCUUCCAGCUGCCUCUCAUGAUGGGGUAAUCCUUUCAUUCCAAGAGUUAGCAUGGGGGAAAUUCUUUUGGACUGUCUCUUUGACUAUGGUAUCCUUUUGCAGGUUUUGGUGGAAGCUGUCUCCAAAGGAUGAUGUCUCAGAAAGGGCUUUCUGUCAUGACGAGACAAAAGUAUUGGGCUCACUUGGGAUUUAUAUUCCUCGGGAUGUCAACUCCUGGAGUGAUCAGGUUUAGUUCUGUUUCAGUGUGCUGAUGGUGUAAUUGAAUAAAUGUAAUGUACAGAUUUUUAAUACUAAUAUUUAGUAUACUUAGUAAUAUCACUAACUAAGGAUUUUGAAAUGCACGUGUUUGAAGUUCUUGAUUAACCAACAAUGAUUCUCUGUAGCUUGAUGGUUUUCUCAAUGUUAAUUUGCUUGCAGACUCAGUGGUGCAUGGACUAUUUACUGGGGGCUAUUGAUGAUAAUCUGAGUUACUGACUAAUGAUGAGGAUUCUCUUUGGCAGAGGUGGCAUGCAUCAUGUCUGUGCCUUUGAAGGAACACAGCCCUUUCAGACAUUCAAGUCAUGUCUCUUUCCAUGAUGGAGGAUGUUACUGAAGUUCUGCGUUUAUGGAUUGGACUAUAGACUUCUUCAGUCUUGGGUUUUAAUAUUCUAUAUUGUCGCCCAUUCUUUCUUGUUUUUUUUGUACGAGGAGGGGAGUUUGGGGUCAAUGAUCGUGUUGCUGUUUAUUUUGUAUGGUGGAGGUGUGGGUUUGCUGGUUCUCCUUGAACUUCCAUGGUCUUCUUUGUUUCAUGGCUAUAUGGAGAAGAAGAAUCUGAGUUGUAUAUUGCACAUAUACUGUAUUAAUAAUUUAACCUUUAAACCAU